AGAAUUUUAAGUUAUUUAAACUUAAAACCUUCAAAGUUUUCUAAAAAAGUUCAAACCUUUUAAAUUCUA
RNAcentral lists this transfer RNA (69 nucleotides) under Tubuca arcuata. RNAcentral's name for it is "tRNA-Trp". Lineage: Eukaryota; Metazoa; Arthropoda; Malacostraca; Decapoda; Ocypodidae. RNAcentral also lists the same sequence under 1 other name. The record is from RNAcentral.